Molecule: ribosomal RNA, 119 nt
Filed under: uncultured bacterium
Lineage: Bacteria
Description: partial 16S ribosomal RNA
Rfam family: Bacterial small subunit ribosomal RNA
Source: RNAcentral
AAUACGUUCCCGGGCCUUGUACACACCGCCCGUCACACCACGAAAGUCGGUAACACCCGAAGCCGGUGGCCCAACCUUUUAGGAGGGAGCCGUCGAAGGUGGGAUCGGCGAUUGGGGUG